UCAAUUAACAAAUAUGGAACGGAGGGAGUAGUUAGUUAGGCAUCACAGUGAAGCUUGGCGAAGGGGCAUUUUUUUAGGCCUACAAGGCUGGAUGCACUGUAUCAAAGUGGUACCAUCCGAUGGGCAUUCAUUUGUCAACUACCACUUUUUUUAGCUGUAUCGCGUGCCAAAAAAUUGAAUUGACAAUGUCUGAACAAAUAUGAAGUAUAAAGUUAUAUCAUUGAAGAGAAUUGUUUUAUUUUCAAAACUAAUGAAGUUGGAUCUGCUUAAAGCACAUAUUCACGAGUUAACUUCACUUUUUAGGGUAAUUGUAAUUUAAAUAUCCACAAGAGGACAAAAACACUACUCUUCUGGAGAUCAUCUAAAUAAGAUGGAAGGGCUCCACACUUCCCGUGCCAUUUUAUGUAUUUUAGAAUUUACUUCAGAGAGACUUCAUCAGUUUGUGCUCUAAAUUUUACUUUAGAGAGUGUCUUUGGACUGAGGCCACUUCAGCACAAUUGAUGGCUGCUUUUCCUCCCCUGUGGACAUGUACCUCCUUUAUCUAGAUGUGAAUAUAUCAAUAAAACAAGGAAUUUUUAAUAUUACUGUCUGACGGAGUUCACAGAUUAUUGAAGAUUUUUGCAGCUAUGGAGAUCUGACCAAACAGUCUUCUAUCCUACCUCUGAAUUGAAGAUGUAUUGGGUCUGUAUAUGAAGUGUAAAUAUUCAGAUAUAUAAAUCCGUUGAUUCAUGAAUUAAAUGGCCAGAGAUCGGUGCAGUCAAGUGGAUUGAUACCUGGACUUUAGAGCUCAAAAUCCUUCUAACUUCUCUACUGGCUGUAUUUUGUUGACAGCUUUGAGAGAAGAACAAGUACUGUUAGUCAUUCCAUGACAUGUAUAAUUUAAAUACUAGAGAAGUGAAUUGAUAGUUCAUUUAGUAGAGUAUUAGUAGAUGAUGGUGUAUAUCCUGAUAUGUUUAGUCCGUUCCCAAAAUAAUUUGUGAAGUAGCCUUAAUAAUUAUAAACCUUCUCUGUAUAUUAGUACUCAGUUUUUUGGGGAGCUGGAAGAAGCCAGCUUACCAUAACAUGUGAAAAUGAAUUUAUUUA
Long non-coding RNA from Triticum dicoccoides, 1083 nucleotides. RefSeq lists it as uncharacterized. The record is from RefSeq and is a predicted model, not a curated record. Lineage: Eukaryota; Viridiplantae; Streptophyta; Magnoliopsida; Poales; Poaceae. The transcript is spliced from 2 exons.